CACGCCAGCGGGCGUGACAGGCCGUUCCCUCCGCCCGGUGACCUCUGUCCGACUUGGGGCUGGCGAGCAGCCGCCGGGGGUGGAAUCCGUGCUGUGCAGGGCACACGGGCUGUGGUCACGGGAGGCGUCGCCCCGGGGAGAGGCGGCGGCGGGCGCAGGGAGGGGGGCGAGUAGGCUGAGUACAGAGGGUUUGGGCGCCGAAAUGACUGUGUGAAGCCGUCGUGGUGAACACAUGUCAUUACACACCCGGGCAAACCUGCACUUAGAAUGCACGGCCCGGGAGGGAGCCCCGCGGUCAACGAUGAGCUUGGGGUGUCAUGACGUGUCCGUGCAGGCUCAUCCUUGGUCAACUACCCUCCUGGAGGUGGCCGACACCCCAAAUCCGACGGAGCCCCUGUGAAUGAACCCGGCGUGGCCAGCUCUGCACACCUGCCUCCGUAGGGGAGGAGAGGAGGCGAGUCCCCAGGAGCUCUGCACCCCCCGGGCGGGCGGGAGGACGCAGCCCUGAGCGCCCGGGACAGCGCCGUUGGGUGCGGACCUGGUGCCACAGGGGCCCGAGCAGCACCUGCUCUGCCUUCAGCCACGUGUGUCAACUAUUUCCUUUCCUACUCAAGAGAAAAUACGAAUUCUUUGAUGACGGAGGAGCGAGCUGCGUGCAAUGGUGUCCGAGGGAGUCGGAAGAGCAGGGGGUUCCACUGGAACGAAGGGUCUGUGGAGUCCCAGUCCAGAGGCCAGGACCCCGGCCCCCCGUCGCCCACCGCACAGCCGUCACCAGCUGCCAGCGUUCCUGUCUUUGGGAACUCAGCUCAGGUCACUUCCUACAUAGACCUUCUCCGUCGCUCCCGCACCUGGAUGGCUGCUCACUUCCUUGACCUUUUCCCUCUGGUGCCAGUUUAGCUGUGUUUGCGUUUUUUUUUUUUUGUUUUAUCCUUUUGGAGUGUAAGGUUCUAGAUGUUGCAGUAGAAACUGCAUCUUACAUGGCUUGCAUCCCUUGUAGCAUCUUAAACAAAAUAAGCACUCAUUCACACAUUCACUCAUUCAUUCAUUCAAGUGAAAUUGGCCAACGGGCUGCUCUGUGCCUGGUGCUGCUGUAGGUGCUCGGGGUAUAGAAUGAAAGUCUCUGUUUUUAUUGAGCUCUUUUGGUGUUAGAAUUGCCGCUUCUUUGAUUAACGUAUUGAUU
This is a long non-coding RNA of Myotis lucifugus (little brown bat), 1180 nucleotides long. RefSeq lists it as uncharacterized. NCBI's taxonomy places the organism in Eukaryota, Metazoa, Chordata, Mammalia, Chiroptera, Vespertilionidae. The transcript is spliced from 3 exons. The record is from RefSeq and is a predicted model, not a curated record.